CGAAAGGGCAAACCCUUCGAAAGGAGGGGGCGCAAAGCCACGGGCCCUCACGCCUUGUGCGGUAGGGUAGCCGGGCUGCCGAA
Molecule: non-coding RNA, 83 nt
Filed under: marine sediment metagenome
Also listed under: 1 other name
Description: c-di-GMP-I riboswitch aptamer
Rfam family: c-di-GMP-I-GGC riboswitch aptamer
Source: RNAcentral